This 497-nucleotide ribosomal RNA is filed under the name uncultured bacterium. Its description in RNAcentral is "partial 16S ribosomal RNA". It matches the Rfam family "Bacterial small subunit ribosomal RNA", at positions 28 to 507 of the family's 1533-position model. The record is from RNAcentral.
GACGAACGCUGGCGGCGUGCUUAACACAUGCAAGUUGAGCGGUGAAGGCUGGUAUUUGUGCCAUGCGCAUGUGGCGAAAAGGGGUGUGUAACGCGUGGAAACUGCCCUUUAGUGCGGGGGAAAUUCAGUAGAAACGAGUGCUAAUCCCGCAUAAAAUCCUUAAACACAGGUGUGAAGGUAGAAAUUUGCCGUUGCGUCACUGACAGAUGACCCCGCGUUGUAUUAGGUAGGUGGUGAGGUACAGGCUCACUAAGGCGAGGAUACAGAGCCCACCUGAGUGGAUGGGCAGCCGCAUUGGGACGGAGACACGGCCCAAACGCCUACGGGAGGCAGCAGUAGGGAAACGUCGGCAAUGGGCGGAAGUCUGACCGAGCAACGCCGCGGGAGUGAAGAGGGUUUUCGGGUCGGAAAUCUCUGUUUGUGGAGAAGAACGUGGGUGAGAGUGGAAAGCACAGCAAGUGACGGUAACUACUCAGAAAGGGACGGCUAACUACGUG